RNAcentral lists this ribosomal RNA (597 nucleotides) under Xiphinema brevicolle. RNAcentral describes it as "SSU rRNA". It matches the Rfam family "Eukaryotic small subunit ribosomal RNA", at positions 1026 to 1643 of the family's 1831-position model. The record is from RNAcentral. Lineage: Eukaryota; Metazoa; Nematoda; Enoplea; Dorylaimida; Longidoridae.
CUAACCGUAAACGAUGACAACCAGCGAUUAGUCGGUGUUAAUAUACGACCCGACUAGCAGCUUCCGGGAAACCAAAGGUUUUUCGUUUCCGGGGGAAGUAUGGUUGCAAAGCUGAAACUUAAAGGAAUUGACGGAAGGGCACCACCAGGAGUGGAGCCUGCGGCUUAAUUUGACUCAACACGGGAAAACUCACCCGGCCCGGACACCGUAAGGAUUGACAGACUGAGAGCUCUUUCUUAAUUCGGUGGGUGGUGGUGCAUGGCCGUUCUUAGUUGGUGGAGCGAUUUGUCUGGUUAAUUCCGAUAACGAACGAGACUCUGGCCUAUUAAAUAGUCGGUAUAUCCGGAAAAGUUUACCGUACUUCUUAGAGGGACAAACGGCGUCUAGCCGCGUGAAAUAGAGCAAUAACAGGUCUGUGAUGCCCUUAGAUGUCCGGGGCUGCACGCGCGCUACACUGAAAGAAUCAGUAUGCGCUUUAACCUAGUCCGGAAGGAUUGGGUAACCCGAGCAAAUUCUUUCGUGCUUGGGAUAGGGAAUUGCAAUUAUUUCCCUUAAACGAGGAAUCUCCCAGUAAAUGCGGGUCAUAAGCUCGCGUUG